This 84-nucleotide transfer RNA is filed under the name Candidatus Woesearchaeota archaeon. RNAcentral's name for it is "tRNA-Ser". It matches the Rfam family "tRNA". Rfam says of the family: Transfer RNA (tRNA) molecules are approximately 80 nucleotides in length. The record is from RNAcentral. Lineage: Archaea; Nanobdellati; Candidatus Woesearchaeota.
GCCGAUGUCGCUUAAUCUGGUAGAGCGGCGGUCUCGAAAACCGCUUUCCGGAAGGAUUUUGAGGUUCAAAUCCUCACAUCGGCG